Molecule: unclassified non-coding RNA, 348 nt
Filed under: soil metagenome
Description: partial contains 5.8S ribosomal RNA, internal transcribed spacer 2, and large subunit ribosomal RNA
Rfam family: 5.8S ribosomal RNA (bases 1-120)
Source: RNAcentral
GAUGAAGAACGCAGCGAAAUGCGAUAAGUAAUGUGAAUUGCAGAAUUCAGUGAAUCAUCGAGUCUUUGAACGCACAUUGCGCCCCCUGGUAUUCCGGGGGGCAUGCCUGUCCGAGCGUCAUUGCUGCCCUCAAGCACGGCUUGUGUGUUGGGCCCCCGUCCCCGGUUUCCCCCGGGGACGGGCCCGAAAGGCAGCGGCGGCACCGCGUCCGGUCCUCGAGCGUAUGGGGUUUUGUCACCCGCUCUGUAGGCCCGGCCGGCGCCAGCCGACACCCAACUUUAUUUCUAAGGUUGACCUCGGAUCAGGUAGGGAUACCCGCUGAACUUAAGCAUAUCAAUAAGCGGAGGA